RNAcentral lists this ribosomal RNA (207 nucleotides) under uncultured bacterium. RNAcentral describes it as "partial 16S ribosomal RNA". It matches the Rfam family "Bacterial small subunit ribosomal RNA", at positions 568 to 774 of the family's 1533-position model. The record is from RNAcentral.
CACGUAGGUAGUACAUCAAGUUGGAUGUGAAAGAACUGGGCUUAACCUAGUGCUGUCAUCCAAAACUGAGGAACUAGAGUACAGUAGAGGGUAGUGGAAUUUCCGGUGUAGCGGUGAAAUGCGUAGAUAUCGGAAGGAACACCAGUGGCGAAGGCGGCUACCUGGACUGAUACUGACACUGAGGUGCGAAAGCGUGGGUAGCAAACA